Arabidopsis thaliana (thale cress) is the source of this 266-nucleotide long non-coding RNA. RefSeq annotates it as other RNA. The record is from RefSeq. The transcript is spliced from 2 exons. NCBI's taxonomy places the organism in Eukaryota, Viridiplantae, Streptophyta, Magnoliopsida, Brassicales, Brassicaceae.
AGAGGUGUUGCUGCUACUUUCCGUUUCGCCUGACAUAUCUUACUUUUCUCUGUCUUCUGAGAGAAUUCUGACUCCAGCAAGGGUGGGAAGUGAUAUCUCAAAGCAUCUUAGCUCAUCGCUAUACACAUGUUCAGUGUAAUUCUCUCCUUAAUCUCCGACUCUACAUACAGCCACACACCUCGUUUUCGUUUGAGGUAUGUAUAUCCAUGUAAAUCAUAAGCUCUAGCCUCUUCUAUAACCGUAAAAUUGGCUUUAGCUGCUUCAGU